GGAUAUAGCUCAGUUGGUAGAGUGCUUGCCUUGCAUGCACAAGGUCCUGGGUUUAAUCCCCAGCUACACA
This 70-nucleotide transfer RNA is filed under the name Marmota monax (woodchuck). RNAcentral describes it as "tRNA.Ala". The stretch from base 6 to 63 matches the Rfam family "tRNA", at positions 8 to 63 of the family's 71-position model. From Rfam's summary of the family: Transfer RNA (tRNA) molecules are approximately 80 nucleotides in length. Their secondary structure includes four short double-helical elements and three loops (D, anti-codon, and T loops). Further hydrogen bonds mediate the characteristic L-shaped molecular structure. tRNAs have two regions of fundamental functional importance: the anti-codon, which is responsible for specific mRNA codon recognition, and the 3' end, to which the tRNAs corresponding amino acid is attached (by aminoacyl-tRNA synthetases). tRNAs cope with the degeneracy of the genetic code in two manners: having more than one tRNA (with a specific anti-codon) for a particular amino acid; and 'wobble' base-pairing, i.e. permitting non-standard base-pairing at the 3rd anti-codon position. The record is from RNAcentral. Lineage: Eukaryota; Metazoa; Chordata; Mammalia; Rodentia; Sciuridae.